Molecule: non-coding RNA, 606 nt
Organism: Kogia breviceps (pygmy sperm whale)
Lineage: Eukaryota; Metazoa; Chordata; Mammalia; Artiodactyla; Physeteridae
Source: RefSeq, a predicted model, not a curated record
CAGUUCUUUAAAAUAUCACCCUGUAUCUUCUUAUAGGAUUUGCUCAGAAAUCUGGUAUCAGUAUGAUUCUUGUUCCCAGGACGUGAGGUACUUCUUCCCCGACGGCUCAGCUCCCUUGUCAUCCCCACCGUCUGCCUCUCCCACAUCACCUCCCAGGACCGCUCUAGACCGAUGUCCGACACACUAAGCUGCCCUUCGGGGGGUCCAUCCCUGUUUACAGUUCUGGUCAUCAUAAGAGCGGAAAGAAGAAAUGGAGGCACAGAGACAUUAGGUCAACUGCCCAAUGUCACACAGCUGGACAGUAGCAGAGCAUGCUUUGGCAUCAAGGCAGGCUGGCUCCAGGCUCCAGCCACAAUGCUACCUUCCUUAUCCCACCUCCUUAUUACUUAUUUCAACGAGCCUAACAUUGACUUUUUCCUGGCUUUGUAUUUUCAAGAAAUUUCAGACAUAUGGAAAAGUUGCAAGAGUAUACAGAGAGAGCUUCUGUACCUCCUCAGCCAGGUUCCCUAUGGUACCAUGAUCAGAACCAGGAAAUUAACAUUGGUACAAUGCUAUUGACUAAACUGAAGACCUCAUUCAAGUGUCACCAGUUUUUUGACUAACAUC